This 429-nucleotide ribosomal RNA is filed under the name Bacteroidota bacterium. RNAcentral describes it as "Bacteroidetes bacterium partial 16S ribosomal RNA". It matches the Rfam family "Bacterial small subunit ribosomal RNA", at positions 355 to 776 of the family's 1533-position model. The record is from RNAcentral. Lineage: Bacteria; Pseudomonadati; Bacteroidota.
UAGGGAAUCUUCGGCAAUGGGGGGAACCCUGACCGAGCAACGCCGCGUGAGUGAAGAAGGUUUUCGGAUCGUAAAGCUCUGUUGUUAAGGAAGAACGAGUGUGAGAAUGGAAAGUUCAUACUGUGACGGUACUUAACCAGAAAGGGACGGCUAACUACGUGCCAGCAGCCGCGGUAAUACGUAGGUCCCGAGCGUUGUCCGGAUUUAUUGGGCGUAAAGCGAGCGCAGGCGGUUAGAUAAGUCUGAAGUUAAAGGCAGUGGCUCAACCAUUGUAGGCUUUGGAAACUGUUUAACUUGAGUGCAGAAGGGGAGAGUGGAAUUCCAUGUGUAGCGGUGAAAUGCGUAGAUAUAUGGAGGAACACCGGUGGCGAAAGCGGCUCUCUGGUCUGUAAAUGACGCUGAGGCUCGAAAGCGUGGGUAGCAAACAGG